This 328-nucleotide ribosomal RNA is filed under the name uncultured eukaryote. Its description in RNAcentral is "partial 18S ribosomal RNA". It matches the Rfam family "Eukaryotic small subunit ribosomal RNA", at positions 1470 to 1796 of the family's 1831-position model. The record is from RNAcentral.
CCCUUAGAUGUUCUGGGCUGCACGCGCGCUACACUGAUGCGCUCAACGAGUUUAUGACCUUGCCCGGAAGGGUUGGGUAAUCUUCUUAAAACGCAUCGUGACGGGGAUAGAUUAUUGCAAUUAUUAAUCUUCAACGAGGAAUGCCUAGUAGGCGCAAGUCAUCAGCUUGCGUCGAUUACGUCCCUGCCCUUUGUACACACCGCCCGUCGCUCCUACCGAUUGGGUGUGCUGGUGAAAUGUUCGGAUCGGCCGUUUGUCGCGGUUUCCGCGUCAUGUGGCUGAGAAGUUCAUUAAACCCUCCCACCUAGAGGAAGGAGAAGUCGUAACA